GACGAACGCUGGCGGCGUGCUUAACACAUGCAAGUCGAACGGAAAGGCCCUGCUUUUGUGGGGUGCUCGAGUGGCGAACGGGUGAGUAACACGUGAGUAACCUGCCCUUGACUUUGGGAUAACUUCAGGAAACUGGGGCUAAUACCGGAUAGGAGCUCCUGCUGCAUGGUGGGGGUUGGAAAGUUUCGGCGGUUGGGGAUGGGCUCGCGGCUUAUCAGCUUGUUGGUGGGGUAGUGGCUUACCAAGGCUUUGACGGGUAGCCGGCCUGAGAGGGUGACCGGCCACAUUGGGACUGAGAUACGGCCCAGACUCCUACGGGAGGCAGCAGUGGGGAAUAUUGCACAAUGGGCGAAAGCCUGAUGCAGCAACGCCGCGUGCGGGAUGACGGCCUUCGGGUUGUAAACCGCUUUCGCCUGUGACGAAGCGUGAGUGACGGUAAUGGGUAAAGAAGCACCGGCUAACUACGUG
Molecule: ribosomal RNA, 468 nt
Filed under: uncultured bacterium
Lineage: Bacteria
Description: partial 16S ribosomal RNA
Rfam family: Bacterial small subunit ribosomal RNA
Source: RNAcentral